Molecule: ribosomal RNA, 492 nt
Filed under: uncultured bacterium
Lineage: Bacteria
Description: partial 16S ribosomal RNA
Rfam family: Bacterial small subunit ribosomal RNA
Source: RNAcentral
AGUGAACGCUGGCGGUAGGCCUAACACAUGCAAGUCGAACGGCAGCACAGUAAGAGCUUGCUCUUACGGGUGGCGAGUGGCGGACGGGUGAGGAAUACAUCGGAAUCUACUUUUUCGUGGGGGAUAACGUAGGGAAACUUACGCUAAUACCGCAUACGACCUACGGGUGAAAGCAGGGGAUCUUCGGACCUUGCGCGAUUGAAUGAGCCAAUGUCGGAUUAGCUAGUUGGCGGGGUAAAGGCCCACCAAGGCGACGAUCCGUAGCUGGUCUGAGAGGAUGAUCAGCCACACUGGAACUGAGACACGGUCCAGACUCCUACGGGAGGCAGCAGUGGGGAAUAUUGGACAAAGGGCGCAAGCCUGAUCCAGCCAUACCGCGUGGGUGAAGAAGGCCUUCGGGUUGUAAAGCCCUUUUGCUGGGAAAGAAAAGCAGCAGGUUAAUACCCCGCUGUUCUGACGGUACCCAAAGAAUAAGCACCGGCUAACUUCGUG